UGAACGCUGGCGGCGUGCCUCAUACAUGCAAGUCGAGCGAACAGAUGAGGAGCUUGCUCCUCUGACGUUAGCGGCGGACGGGUGAGUAACACGUGGAUAACCUACCUAUAAGACUGGGAUAACUUCGGGAAACCGGAGCUAAUACCGGAUAAUAUAUUGAACCGCAUGGUUCACUAGUGAAAGACGGUUUUGCUGUCACUUAUAGAUGGAUCCGCGCCGCAUUAGCUAGUUGGUAAGGUAACGGCUUACCAAGGCGACGAUGCGUAGCCGACCUGAGAGGGUGAUCGGCCACACUGGAACUGAGACACGGUCCAGACUCCUACGGGAGGCAGCAGUAGGGAAUCUUCCGCAAUGGGCGAAAGCCUGACGGAGCAACGCCGCGUGAGUGAUGAAGGUCUUCGGAUCGUAAAACUCUGUUAUUAGGGAAGAACAAAUGUGUAAGUAACUAUGCACGUCUUGACGGUACCUAAUCAGAAAGCCACGGCUAACUACGUG
Molecule: ribosomal RNA, 495 nt
Filed under: uncultured bacterium
Lineage: Bacteria
Description: partial 16S ribosomal RNA
Rfam family: Bacterial small subunit ribosomal RNA
Source: RNAcentral